GUCAUGCCUCUUAUGACCUGGGCUACACACGUGCUACAAUGGUUGGUACAACGAGUUGCGAGUCGGUGACGGCGAGCUAAUCUCUUAAAGCCAAUCUCAGUUCGGAUUGUAGGCUGCAACUCGCCUACAUGAAGUCGGAAUCGCUAGUAAUCGCGGAUCAGCACGCCGCGGUCGAAUACGUUCCGGGCCUU
Molecule: ribosomal RNA, 191 nt
Filed under: uncultured Streptococcus sp.
Lineage: Bacteria; Bacillati; Bacillota; Bacilli; Lactobacillales; Streptococcaceae
Description: partial 16S ribosomal RNA
Rfam family: Bacterial small subunit ribosomal RNA
Source: RNAcentral